RNAcentral lists this long non-coding RNA (240 nucleotides) under Lathyrus oleraceus (garden pea). Its description in RNAcentral is "Pisum sativum (pea) long non-coding RNA (PSAT_LNC022690)". Lineage: Eukaryota; Viridiplantae; Streptophyta; Magnoliopsida; Fabales; Fabaceae. The record is from RNAcentral.
UUGAUUCAUGAGUCAAGUCUAAUCAAUAACUUGAUCUUCGAUUCUUCACCGCGACAAAAAUGGUGACUUCACUGGGGAGGGCUAUUAAGUGGGUGAUACCUAACUUGUUUAUAUGUUUUUAUUUUUUUUUCUAUGUUUUAUUGGGCUUUAUUAUGGAGAUCCAUAAGUGGUGAGGAAAUCCUAAUCCGGAUUAGAGAAUACAAAUAAGAUAGGAUGGUGGUAUAAUCAAAGUUACAUGUC